This 253-nucleotide ribosomal RNA is filed under the name uncultured bacterium. Its description in RNAcentral is "partial 16S ribosomal RNA". It matches the Rfam family "Bacterial small subunit ribosomal RNA", at positions 524 to 776 of the family's 1533-position model. The record is from RNAcentral.
UACGAAGGGGGCUAGCGUUGCUCGGAAUCACUGGGCGUAAAGCGCACGUAGGCGGAUUGUUAAGUCAGGGGUGAAAUCCUGGAGCUCAACUCCAGAACUGCCUUUGAUACUGAAGAUCUUGAGUCCGGGAGAGGUGAGUGGAACUGCGAGUGUAGAGGUGAAAUUCGUAGAUAUUCGCAAGAACACCAGUGGCGAAGGCGGCAUCCUGGACCAACACUGACGCUGAGGAGCGAAAGCCAGGGGAGCAAACGGG